RNAcentral lists this ribosomal RNA (253 nucleotides) under uncultured bacterium. RNAcentral's name for it is "partial 16S ribosomal RNA". It matches the Rfam family "Bacterial small subunit ribosomal RNA", at positions 524 to 776 of the family's 1533-position model. The record is from RNAcentral.
UACGUAGGGGGCAAGCGUUGUCCGGAUUCAUUGGGCGUAAAGAGCGUGUAGGCGGCCAGACAGGUCAGCUGUGAAAACUCGAGGCUCAACCUCGAGACGUCGGUUGAAACCGUCUGGCUAGAGUCCGGAAGAGGAGAGUGGAAUUCCCGGUGUAGCGGUGAAAUGCGCAGAUAUCAGGAAGAACACCCGUGGCGAAGGCGGCUCUCUGGGACGGUACUGACGCUGAGACGCGAAAGCGUGGGGAGCGAACAGG